Gorilla gorilla gorilla (western lowland gorilla) is the source of this 1237-nucleotide long non-coding RNA. RefSeq lists it as uncharacterized. The record is from RefSeq and is a predicted model, not a curated record. The transcript has 6 exons. Lineage: Eukaryota; Metazoa; Chordata; Mammalia; Primates; Hominidae.
CCGAGGCGCCAGCUGCAGUUUGAGAUAGCAGACUGGGGAGACAGCAAUACUAAUGUGUUGAAAAUGGAUGAGGGGAAAACUGUCCCGGAUUUUCAGGUGGCUCAUACAAAUGAGGGUAAGGAGGACGUCUUGUAGCAGCAGCAGUGACCAAAAUGAGGGUGAAAGCGGUCUACCAUAGAGUGGAAUAGCUAUAUAAUUCCUGACCUCAUACCAACACUAUAUAGAGGAGAAAGUAGGACAACUUUAGAAGUUUAUGAGAUGACAUGAAAAUGAGACAUGAAAACAACCCAGCUUCCUGAGGCCUCACUGGAAGCUGAGCAGAUGCUGGUGCCAUGCUUGUACAGUCUGCAGAACCAUGAGCCAACUACCCAGUCUCAGAUAAUCAUGGAUAUGCAGAUAAUCAUGGGAGCCAGCCACCCUCCUGAGUGCCCCUAAAUAGGUUGAGAGGAGCUGGGGGCAACACAUCAGACCAUUUAUCUUUCAUCAGAACACCAUGUCAUGGCUAUGAUGCCACUCUGUCCUGCACAAUUUCCAUGAGGUUGUACACGAAGCAUGGUGGUGGCAUCUGCUCAGCUUCUGAGGAGGCCUCAGGAAACUUACAAUCCUGGCAGAAGGUGAAGAGGAAGCAGGCUUGCCUUACAUGGCCAGAAUAGGACAGAGAGAAAGCGGGGAGGUGCCACACACCUUUAAACAACCAGAUCCCGGGAGAACUCACUAUCCUGAUGACAGCACCAAAGCGGAUGUUGUUAAACCAUGAGAAACCGCACCCCAGGAUCCAAUCACCUCCCACCAAGCCCCACCUCCAACACUGAGGAUUAAAUUAAACAUAAGAUUUGAGUGGGGACGGAGAUCCAAAACACAUCAGGGCUUGUUUAGCUUCAUACGCUGUGAGAGGCCCUGGACACUUGCUUUCAUGCUUUCUCACUGCUCUUGAAAGAGCAGGAGCCCAGGGCUGGUCCAACCUCACAAUCUCCCAUGCAUCCCAGCUGUACCAGUCAUCCCCAUCUUCUCAGUGGGCAUGUAAGAGAGCCUCCCUCCAGGGGCAUCCACUCAGUUCUUUCCUCUCUUACACGGCCCCUCACUUUUUCAAAGUACACUGUCUCUACCAAUGAACCCUGUAUUUAUUCAUUGAAAUCCUCCUCUCCUGCAUAGCGAGCAUGAAAAUGUAGAUAAAGCUCAAAAGACAUGGGAAGGGCUUUAUACCUACAUCAGAAUACAUUUUUACUAAUUUAUCCAC